AAUUUUCCUCUGUAAAUUUCUCUGCUUUUAUCAGCUCUUUUAUGAAUAGUGACCCUGGUCUCACUAGACUCUUCCCCAAAGCUAAAUCCUCAGGAGGGGAGAGUUGAUAGAUGUUGUUGGCCAUGCAUUUGGGACCAAAUAAAAACCAACUUGAAGAAGCUUCAUCAACUCUGUUUUCAGAACUACCAAACUGGGUGUCUGCCCAAAAUUCUUUGGGAAGGCUCUCAAGAAACUGUUCCAAGACAUAGGAAGGGUGGUGGUGAGUAUCAGGAGCCAAGGCUGUUAAGAAGACAGAAGCUGAAAUGUUUUGAGGGAAUUUCUCCAUGGCUAAAGCCAAGCUCAUGCCACCAAAGCUAUGGCCAACCAAUAUAACCUUUUCAUUUGGACCAACACAAGCCAUGGUCUUCAACAAUGGCUCUGAAUACUCUUCAAGCGACUUAACCUCCUGGAUUGCCUUCCUGUGGACCCCGGCCCCCGCCAUGUCCAACACCGUUACACGGUGGCCGGCCGCCUCAAGCAGCGGCUUGAUCUUGUACCAACACCAAG
This 546-nucleotide unclassified non-coding RNA is filed under the name Hevea brasiliensis (rubber tree). Lineage: Eukaryota; Viridiplantae; Streptophyta; Magnoliopsida; Malpighiales; Euphorbiaceae. The record is from RNAcentral.